AGCCUGCCCAGUGACAAAGUUCAACGGCCGCGGUAUCCUAACCGUGCAAAGGUAGCAUAAUCACUUGUUCUUUAAAUAGGGACCUGUAUCAACGGCACCACGAGGGUUGCGCUGUCUCCCCCUUCCAAUCAGUGAAACUGAUCUCCCCGUGAAGAAGCGGGGAUAAACCUAUAAGACGAGAAGACCCCAUGGAGCUUAAAACCGACAGCAACUCAACCUCACACCCCCCCACAACCCACAGAGCCAUGUACCCCGGUUUUAGGUUGGGGCGACCGCGGAGUAAAAAUCACCCUCCAUGACGAAAAGACUUAAAUCUUUAUCCCAGAGCCACACCUCCAAGAAUUAGUACACUAACGAAAAUGACCCAAUUAUGAUCAACGAACCAAGUUACCCUGGGGAUAACAGCGCAAUCUACUUCAAGAGUCCAUAUCGACAAGUAGGCUUACGACCUCGAUGUUGGAUCAGGGUACCCCAGGGGUGCAGCCGCUCCUAACGGUUCGUUUGUUCAACGAUUA
This 515-nucleotide ribosomal RNA is filed under the name Theloderma auratum. RNAcentral's name for it is "partial large subunit ribosomal RNA". It matches the Rfam family "Bacterial large subunit ribosomal RNA", at positions 1856 to 2590 of the family's 2925-position model. Lineage: Eukaryota; Metazoa; Chordata; Amphibia; Anura; Rhacophoridae. The record is from RNAcentral.